This 84-nucleotide transfer RNA is filed under the name Bacteroidales bacterium. RNAcentral describes it as "tRNA-Leu". It matches the Rfam family "tRNA". Rfam says of the family: Transfer RNA (tRNA) molecules are approximately 80 nucleotides in length. Lineage: Bacteria; Pseudomonadati; Bacteroidota; Bacteroidia; Bacteroidales. The record is from RNAcentral.
GCCCGGGUGGUGGAAUUGGUAGACACGCCACUUUGAGGGGGUGGUGUCCAUACGGACGUGCAAGUUCAAGUCUUGUUCCGGGUA